Molecule: ribosomal RNA, 594 nt
Filed under: Rhodotorula sp.
Lineage: Eukaryota; Fungi; Basidiomycota; Microbotryomycetes; Sporidiobolales; Sporidiobolaceae
Description: partial large subunit ribosomal RNA
Rfam family: Eukaryotic large subunit ribosomal RNA
Source: RNAcentral
CGGAGGAAAAGAAACUAACAAGGAUUCCCCUAGUAGCGGCGAGCGAAGCGGGAAGAGCUCAAAUUUAUAAUCUGGCACCUUCGGUGUCCGAGUUGUAAUCUCUAGAAGUGUUUUCCGCGUUGGACCGCACACAAGUCUGUUGGAAUACAGCGGCACAGUGGUGAUACCCCCGUACACGGUGCGGACGCCCAGCGCUUUGUGAUACACUUUCAAAGAGUCGAGUUGUUUGGGAAUGCAGCUCAAAUUGGGUGGUAAAUUCCAUCUAAAGCUAAAUAUUGGCGAGAGACCGAUAGCGAACAAGUACCGUGAGGGAAAGAUGAAAAGCACUUUGGAAAGAGAGUUAACAGUACGUGAAAUUGUUGGAAGGGAAACGCUUGAAGUCAGACUUGCUUGCCGGAGCUUGCUUCGGUUUGCAGGCCAGCAUCAGUUUUUCGGGGUGGAUAAUGGCGGUUUGAAGGUAGCAGUCUCGUGCUGUGUUAUAGCUUUCCGCUGGAUACACCCUGGGGGACUGAGGAACGCAGCGUGCUUUUAGCGAAGGUUUCGACCUUUUCACGCUUAGGAUGCUGGUGGAAUGGCUUUAAACGACCCGUCUUG